CAUUUAUCCAAAAUGCUACUAACUCGUAUAAGAGAUGAACUAGUGAUUUAUUAAAUACUGUGUUGCCUUCACUUGGAGAGAAUCUGAAUUUAAAAUGUGUUUUAGAAUCCAUUAAAUUCAUUUAAAUGCACAAUUCUGUGUUUACCUUAACUCUAUGAGUGCCAGAGUUAUUCUAAGGGUUAAAUCAAUUAGCUUUGGACCAGUGUUCCCAUUGGAUCUCUCUUUAGAAAAGCAGCAGACAAUAGUUUUAUGACCGUAGCAUACAAAUUAGCAGUGUCUGAUGUGGGAACUAUUGUUUAAC
Non-coding RNA from Pelobates cultripes (western spadefoot toad), 301 nucleotides. The record is from the annotation of a GenBank genome assembly. Lineage: Eukaryota; Metazoa; Chordata; Amphibia; Anura; Pelobatidae.